This is a long non-coding RNA of Vicia villosa (hairy vetch), 684 nucleotides long. RefSeq lists it as uncharacterized. The transcript has 4 exons. The record is from RefSeq and is a predicted model, not a curated record. Lineage: Eukaryota; Viridiplantae; Streptophyta; Magnoliopsida; Fabales; Fabaceae.
CUUAAUUUUAAUUACAAAAUGUAAUUUUCUUUCAGUGUUUAUUCGCGAUCUCCACUAUCUUCAUUCUCUACAAUUCUGUAUUUUUGGACGCGCUUUUUUCCCUCUCAAAGCGGAAUAGCUUCUGUUCGAAUCGUGGAAAAUGGAAACAGGAACAGAAGCGGAAACGUGAAACACAACAGGUUCAAAUCGAGGAAAAUUGCUUAUCGUGAAAAGGAAAAAAACGCCAAAACGUGCUUAUUUCGGAAGCAAUUCUCAAACGCGAUUCCAGAAUUAUCAGCACAAGUUUGAUGUUUUGAUUUUUCCGAUUUUGGUUUUAAGCUACAGUGUUUUGGUUGUGGUUGACGAAUUGAUGGAGAAUUGGUUCCAGAUUUGUCGUUUUGCGCUAUGCCCACCGAACGUUAUGUGAAGGGGAAGUAGUCAACUACUUGCAGUAAGUAAUAGCAGGGAGCAUAACUAAUCUGAUGCACAAAAAUAAAUCUACAUUUGUAGGCUGAUGCUAGACAUGGGGAGAUACUGGGUCAGCUUCUCUAUGAAUUUUCAGAAUGUUUUGUGCAAGUGUGCUCUUACGAGGAGUGUCAAACCUUGUAUCUGAUUAGCUCUAUUGUAUGCUUAUUUUUUCUUCUUCUUCAGGCCCUCUAAUUGGAGAAAAAAGAGGAUUCAUUUUCACGACUUCAUGUUGAAUGU